UACGUAGGGUGCAAGCGUUAAUCGGAAUUACUGGGCGUAAAGCGUGCGCAGGCGGCUUUGCAAGACAGAUGUGAAAUCCCCGGGCUCAACCUGGGAACUGCAUUUGUGACUGCAUGGCUGGAAUGCGGCAGAGGGGGAUGGAAUUCCGCGUGUAGCAGUGAAAUGCGUAGAUAUGCGGAGGAACACCGAUGGCGAAGGCAAUCCCCUGGGCCUGCAUUGACGCUCAUGCACGAAAGCGUGGGGAGCAAACAGG
RNAcentral lists this ribosomal RNA (253 nucleotides) under uncultured bacterium. RNAcentral's name for it is "partial 16S ribosomal RNA". It matches the Rfam family "Bacterial small subunit ribosomal RNA", at positions 524 to 776 of the family's 1533-position model. The record is from RNAcentral.